AGUGAACGCUGGCGGUAGGCCUAACACAUGCAAGUCGAACGGCAGCACAGGAGAGCUUGCUCUCUGGGUGGCGAGUGGCGGACGGGUGAGGAAUACAUCGGAAUCUACUCUGUCGUGGGGGAUAACGUAGGGAAACUUACGCUAAUACCGCAUACGACCUACGGGUGAAAGCAGGGGACCUUCGGGCCUUGCGCGAUUGAAUGAGCCGAUGUCGGAUUAGCUAGUUGGCGGGGUAAAGGCCCACCAAGGCGACGAUCCGUAGCGGGUCUGAGAAGAUGAGCAGCCACACUGGAACUGAGACACGGUCCAGACUCCUACGGGAGGCAGCAGUGGGGAAUAUUGGACAAUGGGCGCAAGCCUGAUCCAGCCAUACCGCGUGGGUGAAGAAGGCCUUCGGGUUGUAAAGCCCUUUUGUUGGGAAAGAAAUCCAGCUGGCUAAUACCCGGUUGGGAUGACGGUACCCAAAGAAUAAGCACCGGCUAACUUCGUGCCAGCCGCCGCCGUAA
RNAcentral lists this ribosomal RNA (506 nucleotides) under uncultured bacterium. RNAcentral's name for it is "partial 16S ribosomal RNA". It matches the Rfam family "Bacterial small subunit ribosomal RNA", at positions 29 to 523 of the family's 1533-position model. The record is from RNAcentral.